Molecule: ribosomal RNA, 283 nt
Filed under: Rhipicephalus sanguineus (brown dog tick)
Lineage: Eukaryota; Metazoa; Arthropoda; Arachnida; Ixodida; Ixodidae
Description: partial 12S small ribosomal RNA
Source: RNAcentral
AUUAUUUAAGAGGUAAACAUUGUUAGUAAAUAGAAAUUACGAAAGCAAAAAAUUAUGGCGGUAUUUUAAGCUUUUCAGAGGAAUUUGCUCUUUAAUGGAUAAAACACCUAAAUCUUACUUAAAUUUGUAAAUUCAAUUUGUAUACCACUAUAAAAACAAUUAAUAACUUCAAUUGUUAAAAUUUAUUAAAUUAAGUUAUAUUAAGUCAAGGUGCAGUAAAAAUUUAAGAAUGAAGUGAAUUACAUUUCUUUUUAGAGAGAGAAAUUUAAAUAACAUUUAGGAU